Molecule: ribosomal RNA, 487 nt
Filed under: uncultured bacterium
Lineage: Bacteria
Description: partial 16S ribosomal RNA
Rfam family: Bacterial small subunit ribosomal RNA
Source: RNAcentral
GAUGAACGCUAGCGAUAGGCUUAACACAUGCAAGUCGAGGGGCAGCACAAGGUAGCUUGCUAUCUGGGUGGCGACCGGCGCACGGGUGCGUAACGCGUAUGCAACUUGCCCUAUACAGGAGGAUAACCCGUCGAAAGACGGACUAAUACUGCGUAUGCUCACAACUUGGCAUCAAGUGGUGAGGAAAGAAAUUCGGUAUAGGAUAGGCAUGCGUCCCAUUAGCUUGUUGGUGAGGUAACGGCUCACCAAGGCAACGAUGGGUAGGGGAACUGAGAGGUUUAUCCCCCACACUGGUACUGAGACACGGACCAGACUCCUACGGGAGGCAGCAGUGAGGAAUAUUGACCAAUGGGCGCGAGCCUGAACCAGCCAAGUCGCGUGAAGGAUGACUGUCUUAUGGAUUGUAAACUUCUUUUAUACGGGAAUAACAAGAGUCACGUGUGACUCCCUGCAUGUACCGGAUGAAUAAGCAUCGGCUAACUCCGUG